RNAcentral lists this long non-coding RNA (33592 nucleotides) under Triticum aestivum (bread wheat). Its description in RNAcentral is "long non-coding RNA (TAES_LNC025994)". Lineage: Eukaryota; Viridiplantae; Streptophyta; Magnoliopsida; Poales; Poaceae. The record is from RNAcentral.
UAGAUGACAAGGUUCUAGUGGCUACAAUUUGCCAACCCAGCUUAUUAUUGAACCUUCAGAGCCAUCUUACUAAUGCUGCUGCUUGUGAGUUGGACUGUGUGUUGUUCCUGCUGCAAGAUUUUCAACGGGUGGACCGGCCAGACGAGCGGUCCCUCACACAUGGGUUGUCAUUCUCAGCCAAGAACGCAUACUCUUCCAUUGUUUCUGAUGACUCCUUUGACCCACAUCAUGAUUUUGUUUGGGCUUCUAAGGUCCCGAUCAAAGUCAAGAUCUUCGCAUGGCUUCUACUUCGUGACCGGCUAAAUACAAAGGCCAACAUGUUUCAUAAACAUGUUGCUCAAUCCGCAGCUUGCCCAAGCUGUCAAGACCCAUUCGAGGAUGCUCUUCACCUCAUCUCCACCUGCUCCUAUGCAACACAAGUCUGGACUAGCCUGGGACUGUCUGCCCCAGCCUCCCUCACUGCUCUUCACCAACACCCGCUGAUUCAGGGUCUCAAGCCCAACAUCUGGCCAUCGAUGGCCUUGACCGUUUCUUGGAAACUCUGGGACUCGAGAAAUGCUCUUGUUUUCAGGAAUGAAGAUCACUCUCUCAAAACAACGCUAAGAAAUAUUGUAGCAGUCUUCUCUCUCUGGGUUUUCCAUUUCAAAAAACAUGACGACAGUAACUAUGCUAGGCAGUGGCUACAUUUUCUCUCCUCUGCAAUCCCUUCUAGCUGAAAUUGUAACAAUACUAUGUUGUAUUUCUCCGACCUCUUUUGAGUGGUAAUAUAUUCAGGUGGGGAAGCUCUCCCCCCGGUGACCGUUCAAAAAAAAUUAAGCUCUCUAAUGAGUCGUGCAGCUUGAGCACUGCCAUUUGUGUGUGAGGUUGUUGUCCUCAUUCAUGAGGACAUUGAGGUAAGAUACAAAGCUUGCCAAACUAGCUGCCAUUAACACAAAAGUUAGGCAUCACUAGUAGAAAAAGGGUCAAACGUGAAGCACAUUAGUGCCGGUUUGAAUUUGAGCCGGCACUAAUGUGUACAUUAGUGCCGGUUCCAACGGCUAGCCGGGCCGCUCUCAUUAGUACCGGUUCAUGGCGAACCUUUAGACCGGUUCGUGCCACGAACCGGUACUAAAGUGAGUGGUGGCAGGAUGUUGUCAGUCCGGGGCCCCUCCAGCACCUUUAGUACCGGGUCGUAUCACGAACCGGUACUAAAGGUCGUCCUACAUAGACCCUUCGUCCACCCGAGCUCGCUCUGUUCUUCCCAUUUCCCCUCUCCUCUCUGUUCUUUUCCCUCUUCCUCUCAAGCUCAUCACACAUUUUGCCCAAGAUUUGAAGGCCCCCAUCCAUUCAAAUGAUCACAAAGGUUAGCAACUCUUUCCUUUCAUCUCUCAUUGCUAGAUUAGCUCGUGCAAUGCUUUAUAUAGUGAUUGAUUUUUGAGUUUAGUAAUUUGGGAGGAAUUAUAUAUAUGUGCUAGUAUUUGAUUUAUAUGCAAUAUGAGGUCAAAAAUAACACUUAGUUUUGCAUAUGUAGGUGUGGUUUACUUAGUACCUUCUAAAUCUCCGUCGUAACCACCGUCGAUCGCUCGCAACGUCCCGUCGCCGGCACCACCUUGUGGUGAGCCUCUUGUUCAUGAAGUUUUAUAUAAAUAAUUGAUGUUUGUGUGAUUUGGAUAUAUAGUUACUCGUAUAAUUAUCUUACCCAUACGUUGUUUGUUAUGCAUAGUGCCAUGGUUUUCAUAUCCGUCCCCGUCGGCCCUCGUACGAGUUAUGAUUCGGAUGUGGUAUAUUCUCUUUUAAAACUAUUCAUUGCAUUUCGUGUUUACGAAAAAUUAUGCCCAUCAAGUUGACAUAGAUAUUUCUAUGUAGGAGGUAGUUGAACCCGAAGUUCCAACUGACUCUAUUGUCGAGAGGUUAAAUUUAGUUGAAAGAGAAAAUGAGGAUUUGAAGAAAAAAUUGAAAAGAAUUGAGGGGGAGAAGAUGGAAUUGGAGUUGCGUGUUGCCGAUGUCGUCGUUGAUCACAAGAUUAAGAUGGAGAAAAUGCGCUUGAAGAUUAGAAAGAUUAGAAAAUAUGCCAUUCAUAGUGAGGCUUGGUAUCAUUAUGUUGUUGGAUCAAUUGUUACCUUUGUUGCGAUCUUGAUCGCAUUUGUUGUUGCAUUUAAAUUCUUUAGCUAGAGAGUUAUUUGUUUGUUGCAUUGAAGUGUUGUAUGCUCUUUAUGUAUGAACUUUAUGUAUUGUAUUAAUUUGAUGUUUUCGGUGCUGUGUAUUGAAGAUGAGCCGGCAAUGGAUGUACAAUGACCGAUGCUCUACCGAGUUCAUUAAUGGCGUGCGUACUUUUCUGCUUGCGGCUAAGGCAAACAAGCGAGCGGAUGGUUUUAUGCAUUGUCCAUGUGCUAACUGUAAGAAUGGUCGCAAUUACUCUACAUCAAGAACCAUUCACGUCCACCUGUUUGAGUCCGGUUUCAUGCCCCACUAUAAUGUUUGGACCAAGCAUGGAGAAAGAGGGGUUAUGAUGGAAGACAAUGAAGAAGAAGAGGAUGACGACAGCUAUCCUGGCCAUGGGUUCCCUGAAUACGAUGAUACAACAAUGAGGGAAGAAGCUGAGCCGGUAAUGCGGGAAGAAGUUGAGCCGGCAAUGCGGGAAGAAGCUGAAGAAGAGGCAUCGGAUGAGCCCGUUGAUGAUCUAGGUCGGGCCAUUGCCGAUGCAAAGAGAAACUGUGCAAGUGAUUUGGAGAACAAGAAGUUGCAGCGCAUGUUAGAGGAUCACAAAAAAUUGUUGUACCCGAAUUGCGAAGGUGACAAGAAAAAGCUGGGCACCACAUUGGAAUUGCUGCAAUGGAAGGCAGAGAAUGGUGUAUCUGACAAGGGAUUUGGAAAGUUGCUGGUAAUGAUAAAGGAUAUGCUUCCAAAGGACAACGAAUUGCCCGAGAGUAUGUACCAAGCAAAGAAGGAUGUCUGCCCUCUAGGGUUAGAUGUGCAGAAGAUACAUGCAUGCCCUAAUGAUUGCAUCCUCUACCGCCGUGAGUACGAGGAUUUGAACGCUUGCCCGGUAUGCGGUGCAUUGCGCUAUAAGAUCAGCCGCGAUGACCCUGGUGAUGUCGAGGGCGAGCGCCCCAGGAAGAAGAUUCCUGCCAAGGUGAUGUGGUAUGCUCCUAUAAUACCACGGUUGAAACGUUUGUUCCAAAACAAAGAGCAUGCCAAGGCGAUCCGAUGGCACAGAGAAGACUGUAAGAAAGACGGAAAGUUGAGAGUGCCCGCUGAUGGGUCGCAGUGGAGAAAAAUCGAAAGAAAGUAUGGGAAGGAGUUUGCAGAUGACGCAAGGAACGUAUGGUUUGGUCUAAGCGCAGAUGGCAUUAAUCCUUUUGGGGAGCAGAGCAGCAACCAUAGCACCUGGCCUGUGACUCUAUGUUUGUAUAACCUUCCUCCUUGGUUGUGCAUGAAGCGGAAGUUCAUUAUGAUGCCAGUGCUCAUCCAAGGCCCUAAGCAACCCGGCAAUGACAUUGAUGUGUACCUAAGGCCAUUAGUUGAAGAACUCUUACAACUGUGGAAUGGAACAGGUGUACGUGCGUGGGAUGAGCACAUGGGGGAAGAAUUUGACCUAAAGGUGUUGAUGUUCGUGACCAUCAAUGAUUGGCCUGCUUUCAGUAACCUUUCAGGACAGACAAACAAGGGAUACCGCGCAUGCACGCACUGUUUGGACAAUACCGACAGUAUAUAUUUGGCGAAUUGUAAGAAGAAUGUGUACCUGGGACAUCGUCGAUUUCUUCCGAGCAGGCAUCCCGUAAGAAAGAAAGGCAAGCAUUUCAAAGGUGAGGUGGAUCACCGGACGAAGCCUCGCCACCGUACUGGUGCUGAUGUACAUGAUAUGGUCAAGGAUUUGAAGGUGGUCUUUGGAAAGGGUCCUGGUGGACAACCUGUUCCGAAUGACGCUGACGGACGCGCACCCAUGUGGAAGAAGAAAUCUAUAUUUUGGGACCUGCCCUAUUGGAAUGACCUAGAGGUCCGCUCCGCAAUCGACGUGAUGCAUGUGACGAAGAAUCUUUGUGUGACCCUGCUUGGCUUCUUGGGCAUGUAUGGGAAGACAAAAGAUACACCUGAGGCACGGGAGGACCAGCAACGUAUGCACGGAAAAGACGGCAUACAUCAAGGUCAUGCAAGCUAGGCUCUUACCAAAGAAGAGAAGGAAAUCUUCUUUGAAUGCCUGCUUAGUAUUAAGGUACCGUCUGGCUUCUCGUCGAAUAUAAAGGGAAUAAUAAACAUGGCAGAGAAAAAGUUCCAGAACCUAAAGUCUCAUGACUGCCACGUGAUUAUGACGCAACUGCUUCCGGUUGCAUUGAGGGGGCUUCUACCGAAAAACGUUCGAUUAGCCAUUGUGAAGCUAUGUGCAUUUCUCAAUGCAAUCUCUCAGAAGGUAAUCGGUCCAGAAAUCAUACAAGGUUAGAGAAUGAUUUGGUGCAAUGUCUUGUCAGUUUCGAGUUGGUGUUCCCACCAUCCUUCUUCAACAUCAUGACGAACGUCCUAGUUCACCUAUGUGAAAAGAUUAACGUUUUGGGUCCUGUAUUUCUACACAAUAUGUUCCCCUUUGAGAGGUUCAUGGGAGUCUUAAAGAAAUAUGUUCAUAACCGUGCUAGGCCAGAAGGAAGCAUCUCCAAGGGCCAUGAAAAUGAGGAGGUCAUUGAGUUUUGUAUUGACUUUAUUCCUGACCUUAAGCCGAUUGGUGUUCCUGAAUCGUGGCAUAAGGGCAGACUGGAUGGAAAAGGCACGCUAGGAGGGGAACAAAUAAUAUGUAUGGACGGACAUUCUCUCACUGAAGCACACUACACAGUUCUACAAAAUUCCGCCUUGGUGGCUCCGUAUAUGGAUGAACACAAGAAUUUGCUACGCUCCAAACACCCGGAGCGGUCUGAUGACUGGAUUACACGUGAACAAACCAGGAGUUUUGCCAGCUGGUUGCAGACACGUACCAUGCAUGACACCUCUAUUGAAGAUGACCUGUACUUGCUGUCCCAGUUACCAUCUUCGAAUAUAAUGACUUUCAAAGGGUACGAGAUAAAUGGUAAUACAUUUUACACGAUCGCCCAAGAUAAGAAGAGCACCAACCAAAAUAGUGGUGUCCGCUUUGAUGCAGAAACCAAGACAGGAAAGGAAACAUAUUAUGGUUAUAUACAGGACAUAUGGGAACUUGACUAUCGACGUGGUUUGAAGGUCCCUUUGUUUCGGUGCAAAUGGGUCAAUAUGACACGAGGCGGGGUAACGGAAGACCCGCAGUACGGAAUGACAACAGUGGAUCUCAACAAUCUUGCGUAUGCAGACGAACCAUUCGUCCUAGCCAAUGAUGUGGCACAGAUUUUCUAUGUGAAGGACAUGUCUACCAAGGCAAGAAAAAGAAAAGAUAAGGAAGGGAAUGCAUCAUACGAUGAGCCAAAGCGGCACAUAGUUCUUUCUGGGAAGAGAAACAUCGUGGGAGUGGAUGACAAGACAGACAUGUCAGAAGAUUAUGAAAAGUUUGAUGAAAUUGCUCCAUUCACAGUGAAUAUUGACCCGAGCAUCCCGCUAAAUGAUGAAGAUUUUCCAUGGUUACGGCACAAAGGGACACACGCGAAGAAAAAGUUUCACACCCAAAGAUCUGGGAUGUGAUCAGCUUCACUAUAAUCACUCUCUUCUGUGUUUCACACCCAGGAGGGAAUCUCUGUAAUAGUUAGGGUAGUUAUGUGUUUUGGCAUUUGAAACGUGAAGAAAUUUUAUGUGCAAACAAAUUCUUUCAUGCCUUUACUGAUUUUUUAAGCUAAAUGACCCUGAAAUUGAAAAGCAUUUCAAAUGAACUCAGAAAAGGUUGAAAGUUGGCAUGGUAUCAUAAUUUCACCCACAUAGCAUGUGCAAAAAAGUAGAGAGGGUUACCGCAAAAACUGGAUGCACUUCGUGUACUAAAUGGACAAUCUCUUUCGAAGUAUCAGGGUUUCGGACAAAAACUCAUCCGUUACAAAAGGCAUUUCAUUUUUUUAAAUAACCUAAGCAUUACCAAAUUGAAUAUAAUGAUAAAACACACUAAUAUUAAACAUAAGAAAAAAGAAUCACUGAAAAAUCUAUUCUCAAAGUUAAGUUAUUCACAAACUAGUGAUUCACACAAAUUUCAAAUAAAUCAAAAUUUAAACUAUUCAAAUUUGUAAACUACCGGUACUAACAGAAAGUUUGUAAUUUUUUGUACCUAAAGCAAAAAUAUUCACAAAGAAACUCUAAAUACAGCAAAAAAACAACUCAAACAAAAAUAAAUAGAGCAAAAGAAAUAAGAAAAAAAAGCCCACCUACUGCGCCACAGCGGCCUGCAUACGACUAGAAACCCAACCUGUUGUUGGGCCAGGAUGCAGGCCCGCAAAGGCCCAGUAGGCCCACAGGGCAGCACAGAACAUUUAGGCCCAGUAGGCCUGCUUUGGAGAGGAGCUCGAGGGAGCUACCGCACUGGGGCUUAUAAACCAGUGCGGACGCCCCUCGGCUAGCGAAGUGGGACUAAACAUUUCGCACCGCACCUGCGCCAGCGCACCCCCUUUAGUGCCGGGUGGUAGCACCAACCGGUACUAAAGGUGGGGCCUUUAGUACCGGUUGGAGCCACCACCCGGCACUAAAGGGGGUGCGGUCCCCGCCGCUUGGCCUGGCCAAAACAGGCCUUUAGUANNNNNNNNNNNNNNNNNNNNNNNNNNNNNNNNNNNNNNNNNNNNNNNNNNNNNNNNNNNNNNNNNNNNNNNNNNNNNNNNNNNNNNNNNNNNNNNNNNNNNNNNNNNNNNNNNNNNNNNNNNNNNNNNNNNNNNNNNNNNNNNNNNNNNNNNNNNNNNNNNNNNNNNNNNNNNNNNNNNNNNNNNNNNNNNNNNNNNNNNNNNNNNNNNNNNNNNNNNNNNNNNNNNNNNNNNNNNNNNNNNNNNNNNNNNNNNNNNNNNNNNNNNNNNNNNNNNNNNNNNNNNNNNNNNNNNNNNNNNNNNNNNNNNNNNNNNNNNNNNNNNNNNNNNNNNNNNNNNNNNNNNNNNNNNNNNNNNNNNNNNNNNNNNNNNNNNNNNNNNNNNNNNNNNNNNNNNNNNNNNNNNNNNNNNNNNNNNNNNNNNNNNNNNNNNNNNNNNNNNNNNNNNNNNNNNNNNNNNNNNNNNNNNNNNNNNNNNNNNNNNNNNNNNNNNNNNNNNNNNNNNGUCAUCGCCGCCUCGUCCCCAUUGUUGCCGCCCCAGCCCGUCCCCGUCGUCGCCGCCCCAUCCCUGUCCCCAUUGUCGCCAUCCCCGUCGUCGCCGCGCCUGUCGCCGUCCACGUCGCCACCCCCCGUCGCCUCUCGCCUCGCCGGUGAGCACACACACACACACACAUAGUUAGUUAUGGAAAUGUUAGAAAUGUUAGAAUUGUUAGAAAUUUUUCUAUUUUUUAGUUGUAGAAAUAGUUAUAAAAUAGUUAGAAUUGUUAGAAAUUUUUCUCUUUUUUAGUUAUAGAAAUAUUAGAAAUGUUAUAGAAAUGUUAGUUAUAUAGUAUUGUUAGAAAUGUUAUAGGAAUGUUAGUUAUAUAGAAAUGUUAGAAAUUUUAGUUAUCAAAAUCCAAUCAUUAAAAAAAUGUUACUUUUUGCGGGCAUAUAGCUAGUAUUUGUUCUGGACGAUGCCUGGCCUGCAUCCUCACCGUCGACCCGUCCGCGAUGACGUCCGGCUGACCCAUGUCCGGGACUGGGCUCCGCCGGGCUGGCACUGGGAGGUGCUGCCUGGAGGGGCACGCCACUUGAUGAGGAACCCGGCCCCGGGUCUCGUCGUCGACCCUGAUCUUGUUUGGUGGCGUUCGCGUGGGCUAGUUUCGGUGCGGAGGGAGCCAGCCCCGCCGGAGGAGGUACGUCGCCGUGUCAGGGAGGAGGACGAGCACGUCCAUCGCUACAUGGUUGCGUUAGAGGGCGGCAGGUUCUCCAAUACCUGGCAGUUCUUCAGGGAUCUCACUUCAGCUAUGAUCCUGUGAGGGUUCCUUCUCUUUGGGUGUCCACCGCCCGCGCCGAAGGAACUGCGAGUGUCCUAGAUUCUUCUGUAGUAUUCGAUCUUUAUUAGCUACCUAGCCAGUGAUGUACUCGAUAUAUAAUAUUAGAGACGAUGUAUUCGAGAUUAUAUAUUAUUCGAGACGAUCUAUUCGAGAUUAUAUCUAUUAUUCGAGACGAUGUAUUCGAGAUUAUAUCUAUUAUUUGAGACGAUGUAUUCGAGAUUAUAUCUAUUAUUCGAGACGACAUAUUCGAGAUUAUAUUCGAUGAUGCUUAUUAUGUACUAUGAUUGAUUCAGUUUUUCCUUAUUAAUGGAUUGCAUCCAUGCAUUGUAAUUUGAAUAUUUUUUUUGGAUUAGUUAAACAAAACCUAUGGCGGACAAUACCGGCAGAGAGGGAGAAGAGGCCCUGUUCAAUAUCAUACGCAAUCCUCGCGGGCCAGAUGAUGAUCAGAAUGAAGAAGAUUAUGACGGCUCCGAAUAUCUAAACAACACCGGGGAGGGUGAUAUGAUAUUCGAUCGCGACGACCGAAUUGAUGAAGCCGUGAACUAUGAAUAUGACGAAGAAAAUGUUGAUCUUGAAACAACAAAGACCAACAAGGUAUAUAUAUUUAUAUAAGCAGGCAUCUGGUGAUCAUCACAUGUUUUAAAUGACUUGAAGAUAUAUUAACAAAUCGAUCUUUCUUCUUUCAGCCAUCCGAAUCGAGCAAAUCUUCAGGCAACAGGACGAAAUGAGGCCCGAACAAAAAGUUGAAGGAGGGCGUAAAGUACAAUAUCGAGGCAAUCAAACCUAAUGGCGAACCAUUCGCGCCUAAGAAGAUUGCAGACAAGUUCGUUCGUCAAUGCGGAGUUCUUGUGAAGGACCUACUCUCGAUCUCCCUUCAAGAAUGGAGAGAGCCAUCAAAGCCACGUCCAGGAGUUACUUUUGUCGACGACAGACAAAAACAUUUGCUUUGGGAAACGCUCAUGGAACAUUUCACCCUACCAGAUCAUUUCACAAAAGUAGAUGUGGACAAAGUCAAGGACCAUGCUCUUAGGAAGAUGGCGGUUGCAUUCAAGAACCACAAGAUUCGUGAAUGGGCCAAGUACGUCAAUGGAGGAAGGAAGACUCCAGUAUUCGAGGGAGUACUAGAGAAGCAAAGUGCUCAUUGGGACGAUUUCGUGAAAUUCAAGGAUUCGGAAUUAUCUAAGGAACGGUCGAGAAUAAACAAGGCCAAUGCCGCAAAAAAGGAUAAGUUCCAUAAGCUGGGGCCAGGUGGCUAUGCGGUGGGAUUGCCUAAGUGGGAUAAGUCUAAGAAAGAGAUGCUGGAUGCAGGUGUCACUCCAGAAACAUUGAGCUGGCCCCCCAGGUGCAGGACUUGGUUCUAUGCGCAUGAGGGGAGUUGGACCUGAAGACAGGCAAAGUUUCCAAGAAGGCAUGUCUGGACGGAGCCGAAGAUAAGCUACUUGUUGCAAUAGAAGAGGCUCGAUCCGGGUUGUUUGAGCCCAACAGAGAGAACGACGAGCUUACGCGUGCCCUGGGAAAUCCUGAACACCCGGGAAGAACACGAGGCAUGGGCGCUAUUCCAUGGUAUGAGGGGUUUUCGGACUGGAACGCCGACUACAGAACCCGUGCGAGAAAGAAGAUUGCGGAGGAGAAGAAGAGGAAGAUGGAGGAGGAGCAGAGGAAGCUAGACUAUGAACGCCUUCAAGGCCUAGAAUCAGCGCACGCGGACUUGGCAAUCAAAUUCCAGCGGCAGCAGGAGCAGAUCGACUCACUUAGCCAGCAAAGGGGAUCUCAGCAGCUACCGGAUGAUCCACCAAUGGAUAGCACCGUCCCAUCCAUGCCGAGAAGCAGCGUGGGUUCCGCCCCGGGUGACGCAUUACUGGAUAGCUACCCAGUGGAUGACAUCAUGGAGAACACUAACUGCGAGCUAAACUUCAAAAUGAAGAACAUAUCCAUGAAGGUGGCGGACGCCCUUGCUUUUACAAAUCCCCCCGAGGCAACCUUCCAUUGCAACCCGAUUCCAGCGGGCUAUGCUCGUGUCUUGGUUGAUGAGGUGGUGGACCAAUAUUCGGGGCUAGAGCUUGACAUUCCUGGAGGUGACGAUGAGCACACACUAGGAGAGGCCAACCAUCGUAUCAUCCUAUGGCGAAAGGAUUGCAUCAUCUUUCCAAGGCCACCGACACCGCGUCAUCCGACUCCUCGUCGCAGUCCUCCACCGAGUCAGCAUACUCCCGCUCCUCCAAGUCCACCAACGCGUCAGGCCACUCCUUCUCCAAGUCCGGCACAGCUUCAGGCCACUCCUCCUCCAAGUCCGGCAAAGAGUCAGGCCACUCCUCCUCCAAGUCCGGCACAGCUUCAGGCAACUCCUCCUCCAAGUCCGGCACAGCUUCAGGCCACUCCUCCUCCUCCAACUCAGCCACGUCAGCCGUCUUCGCCGCCUCAGCAAUCACGGAAGAGAGACGCCUCAGCUAUGGUGCGUAGCAGUACAAGUCGAGGUAGUACUGCAGGUACAGGCGGAGGCAAGCGAUUUCAAUAUGGUCCAAGAAGCCUCGCGCCUCUUCCGCAAAGGCCUUACGACAAGUCCGAGGAGGAAAACGUAGCCAUAUCAAAGGCCGAGGUGGAAGCCCAUUUUGCACCGAAACCGCCACCGCCGCCAAGGGAGAAAGUGCCUAUGGAAAAGAUUGACCACUUCAUUCGUAUGGCUAGACCACCAGCUCCCAAGCCUGUUGAGUCAGACUAUGAGCGCCACAUCAAGAAGUUAAAUCGAGCACGUCUACAGAAAGAGGCGAGCUCGAGCUCGAGCAAAUCAGCUGGCAAAAGGAGCGGUAAAACCGUUCCCUAGCUGGGAGAACAGGUGGCGCAAUCAAUCCCCCUGCUUGUUGUGCCAACAACACAUGAGAGUAGGCGCGCCCAAUAUUAUUGUGGGCAAACUGUUAACGUUCCCGGGCUGGGCGAUGUCAUAAUAACCGAGGAGCAUAUUGCGCAGGCUGAAUCGAUCGGGAUCACUGUUGGACAACUCCUCGAUAUCGAGCCCAUGUCUCCGACUAGAGAGGAGGAAAUAAAACGGAAAUAUGCCCGGGGCCAACCUUUGGUCGAGCCAGAGGAGGUCAAUAAGCUCCCAACGAGAAUGUAUGCAUUGCAUCAAUGGUACAUGGACAUUACCAAGAUUUCCAAUCGAGAGUCCCUCAUGGUGAAUGUCAACGAGGAGCAUUACUAUCAUAAGAAAGCUGUGACCGUUGAGUAUUCAGAACUUUUUCAGCUAUACAAUAAAGACGCACUCGAUAAAUCUAUCGCCAGUUGCUAUUGUCUAUAAGUAAUUUCUUUCUGUAAUUUAAGUCUCAAGCUAGCUGAUCAUUUUGAUCAAUCAUUACCUGUAAUUAUCCUCACUAUAUUCUUUUUUGUGGUAUUAUGCAGGAUGAAGAUUUAUGAAAUGAAAAAAGGUGGACGCUAUGGCAUUGGGUUCGUUGAUCCAAAUACCAAUAAUGAAUACACAUGGAAAAUAGAUCCAUAUCACGAAAAAUAUGUAGAGGAAAGCAUGCUACAGUUCUUCAAGGAACUCAAAUACAAUGAAGAUAUACUACUUCCUUACAACUUCCAGUGAGUCACACUGUCUUGUACUACAAAUUCUGUUUUUCCCUACUAGCUAUAGCUACAUGUUUUUGCUUAUAUAUGCCCGCUUAAUUAAGAUAUGCAAACGUGUGUGCAUGCAGAUUUCACUGGAUCUUGUUAAUCAUUAAAGUUGAUCAAGGAACAGUUGAAGUACUAGACUCGCUACUUAAGAAAGUAAGUGACUACGGCAUCGUGAAGGGGAUAGUCAACAGGUAAUUUCAAUCAUUAUUAACUGUAUCUCGGCCUAUUUAAUUAGUUCAUCAUUUCCUGAUAACAACUAUUUAAUAACCCAUUUAUUCAUUUUCUUUGUCGGCGGGCAGGGCUUGGGCAAAGUUCAUCAGGGCCACUCCAGGCGCAUGGAAACAAAAUCUGAAAUGGUAUCGACCCAAGGUAAGUAAUUAAGUAGUACUAGCUAGCUGCCAUCUCUUUAAUUAUUAUGCUUGAUUAAUUAUUAUCUGAUCAAAUUCCAUUCUCGUAAAGGCCUUGAAGCAGGCACCGGGGAAUGAUCUAUAUGCAUACUACGUUUGCGAGAACAUUCGCAUGAUGGCGUCUGAAAGGAGCAAAUCUCAAAGACAGAAGUGGGUACGAUAUCGAUUGUCAGAACACUAUUCCCAAUUUUUACACCAUUAUCGAUAUCUAGUCACACAUUUAAUACACAUGCAUAUUGAUCUUCUUCUUAACAGUUCAAAGAGGUGCGGGACAAGCUCCUAGCAUAGGACCGCAUAGAAGCAAUUCAAGAGGAAAUAGCGGGAUUUUUGCUCGACCAGGUCAUAGAUCCCAAAGAAGAAUACUAUUAUCCGCUACCGCCCCCAUCAACCACUUCCAAUUGUUAUCGUGCUCCGAAGGCAUCAAUUAGCUAGGCUAAUGCCACUGGCUCCGAAGGCACCAAUUAGGAGAANNNNNNNNNNNNNNNNNNNNNNNNNNNNNNNNNNNNNNNNNNNNNNNNNNNNNNNNNNNNNNNNNNNNNNNNNNNNNNNNNNNNNNNNNNNNNNNNNNNNNNNNNNNNNNNNNNNNNNNNNNNNNNNNNNNNNNNNNNNNNNNNNNNNNNNNNNNNNNNNNNNNNNNNNNNNNNNNNNNNNNNNNNNNNNNNNNNNNNNNNNNNNNNNNNNNNNNNNNNNNNNNNNNNNNNNNNNNNNNNNNNNNNNNNNNNNNNNNUUCUACUAGAAAUUCUAUUUAUAUAUAUGCAUAACGUGUACAAUAUGUAGUAUCGUAAAAUAUCAGCAAACGAAAAAGAAUUAAAUGGAAAACACAAAAUUAAAUGAAAAAGAAAUCAUAAACCCAAAACCCCCCAAACAUUUUAAUACCAGUUGGUGACACCAAUCGGUACUAAAGGGCUCCCUACCCCCGAAGCUGCCUCGUGUCACGUGGUUGCCCUUUAGCACCAGUUCGUGUUGAACCGGUACUAAAAGGGGGGGCCUUUAGUGCCUACAUUUUAGCACCGGUUACCAAACCGGCACUAAAGGGCUUUACAAACCGGUGCUAUUGUCCGGUUCUGCACUGGUGCAUACUCUAUAAAAAAAACUUAGUCUGUGAUUCUGUGAAUCAAUAGACAUGCAUGGAUACGGGAAGUAUGGUGACGAGUUGGGAGCGACUAUUUGUAUAGAUAUGUAACAUGUGCUAGAGAAAACAAGAACCUAGGCAAUAAUGCUUCGAGAGCGAGAUAUGUUGGUGCAUUGCAUGCAUGCAUGGAUAUCUUGGAUUAUUGUGCGAGGGCCACGCGGAACCCCUGCACACCAAGCAAGCAAAAAUUCCGCGAGGCAAAAGAUAUCGCCAGCCUAUGUUUGGACAUCCUACAACCAUGGCGAGCCCGUGGGCAGACCUUAAAAUGCCAUGGCCAUGCACGCCGGGCUAGCUCCCCUCUCAGGUUAAAUUGGACGUCCUUCCUAUAUAACUUCGACACACUCGGGAUGCGGAGGCCGUCAACCUGCAGCAUCCUCCCAUCGAGCCGUUGCCUCCUUCCUGCUCUCUCUCGGUCUUAAUUUGGCCUGCCCUCCACGCGCGCGCACCGAUAAAUACACUCUCGACGAGGGCGGUCGAGAAGAGACCGAAAGGAGCAAGAAACAUGGCGCGGCUCUCCGUGACCACCACUGCCCUCCUCCUCGCCGCCGUCGCCUUCUUCAUCGCCGCCGAGGCCGCCGUCACCAAGGACUUCACCUUCGCCCGGGGCAUAAAGCUGCACAUCUCGAAGCAGGGCACGGCGACCGACCACAUCUUCGCCGGGGGCAGCAAGCUCUUCGUCGCGAGGCACGACGCGGCGCCGGCCGACCACGCCUCCGCCCGGGGCAGCAAGCUCGACGUCACGCAGAGCAAGAUCUCCAUCCCGAAGAAGAGGCUCGCCGUCUCGCAGAGCAAGCUCUUCGUCGCGAGGCACGACGCGGCGCCGGCCGACCACGCCUUGGCCCGGGGCAGCAAGCUCGACGUCACGCAGAGCAAGAUCAGCAUCUCGAAGAAGAGGCUCGCCGUCUCGCAGAGCAAGGCGGCCGUCCAGAAGAAGGGCUUCAUCUUCUUGGAAGGGCGCAAGCUGGCCGGCGGCGGCGCGUUGUCGGCGGACACGGCGGGCGCGGCCCCGGGGGCGGUGCAGGCGUGCGACCAGCUGGAGGCGUACCAGAGGGUGUGCCACACGCUGCUGCACCUGCCCGGGGUGACGACGGCGCGGGCGCUGAUGGAGACGGCGGUGCGGGUGGCGCUGGGGCGGGCGCGGGCGGCCAAGGUGACGUUCGACGCGGCCAAGGCGGCGUCCGGGGCGGGCAACCCGAUGGCGUCCAUCCUGGGGUCGUGCGAGCAGAACUACGACGACCUGGUGGACGCGCUGGAGGAGGUGAGCCGGGCGAUGCACAAGCCCGGCACCAGCAGCGAGAGCCUGGUGGAGAAGAUGACGGCGGCCAGCACCUACGCCGGCGACUGCGACAACUGGUACGAGGAGCGCGACGUCAAGUCGCCCUACGAGGUCAUGCAGCGCCACCUCGCCCAGAUGGUCUCCGUCGCCCUCGGCCUCGCCAACAAGAAGCUCUGAGCAAGCUUCGCCGUAUGCUCGCUAUGCUUUGCUGCGCGUGCUGAUUAAUGGACUCUUGUGUGUGAAGGGUGUGGUGUGCUGUAUGCCGUAUGCAUGCACUUGAUGCUACAGUAUAUACUAUGUGAUCAAGGUUUGAGGAGGUUUGUAGUGCUAGUGUAUGUACAAGUAUGCUAACACGGCAAGCAGGUUGACCUCAUUAAUCUAAAAUAUUUCAUUUCAAAUCAAAUGCUACUCUAUUUGGCUUUCCUUCUUUGUGUUGGAAAAUGUCUUCAAAACUAUGACUGGAGUGGUACAUGACAUCUUUCUUUUCUGUGGUUUUUCCGUUUUGACGAUCUUCUAUAAAAUGCCACAUUUCAGAUUUCAUUGACGAUCUUUUCUGUGGUUUUUCCGUUUUGACGAUCUUUUCUGUGGUUUAUCCAGCUGCGAAGAUGGCUAUAGCAUUCCAGAUUUCAUUGUGUUUACUAAAAGAGAAGAAGUCCGCAUUAGUUGAAGGAAUGGGAAAGAUCGCAUGCUUUACAUGGUCUUGCACUGCAAGUUCUCCCGCAAAAAACAACAUAGAUGCAUUGUUAGUUUGUCUUCACCGACAUCGAAGAUCCUUACGAAUGGUGAGAUAUUGAGUUUGCUGACGAAGAUCCUUAGGAAAGGCAAGAUAUUGAGUUUGAUUGCUGGAUGAUGCCAGGUCGCUCUCAAUUUUGAUUUGUGCUGGUUCGUGUGCAACACCCCAUGUGCCCGCCUCGCAGCAAUACACUUAUGUUGUGUUUCAGUUUGGGAGAUCAGAAAUUUGGUGCGCCUACCCAUUUUGUGCUAGAACUGUUCUUCACGAAUGAUGAGCUGGUGAUUGAUUAACCAAUACAUUCCUACCAUAAGGAGCAUUGUUGUCACAUAAGCAAACACGGCAUCAUGAUACAACCGUCACCAACGGCACUAAGAAACUCCAUGAGAAUCAUGAUGACAACCGUCACCAGACCUCCUAAACUCAUGAUUGUUUCAGAUUGCUCGCUUAAGUUGAAGAUUUCUCUGUAGACUUGCUGGAGACUGCACCACAGGUCAUCAUACAUUCACACUGGUAAGAAAGGUCAAUACAGUUCGUGAUGCUCCACAGGGAAUACAGAGCAGACAUGCACCCAACAAUUUUUUUACUCAUGACUAGGAGGUAUCAGAGGGUAAUAAUACACCUCCAAUCAAAAUAGCUUGGAAGGAAAAUAGUAAGAUUAGAAACAGGGCCCAAGCUUGUGAGUGACAUCAAUAGGGUAAAUAAACCAAUAUGAUACAUGUGAUAUCAACCAGGAAAGAAUUGGAAAACAAGAAUUCAACUAGGCAACUGUACCGGUGGAUGGUAACUUACAGCAAACAUGGGUAAAAACCACUAAGAGAACUCUGCAUGAUGGAAGGGUGGAGCUUUAGGGACAAGAGCCCCAACCUGCCGGUAAACGCCAUCUAUCCUGCCGCCGUAAUUCAGGUGCAGCACUACAUGUGCUCCUCGCCUCCUCAGACUCUAACAAACUGCUUGAUUGCUCCAGCAGCUAGAGCAGAGAUCAGAUAAGCCUCAGCUCGUAUUCACCGGCCAUUGUGAUGUACCUAACCCAAGGGAGGGCCUGGUAUCCACUUUUCUCGAUGACUUUCAGAUAACGAACCUGCAAAAGUAUAAGAAUAUGGUAUAUAAGCAGGAUGCAAGACUGCCAAAGAAAGUUGUGAGCAAAGCUACCUAGUUACAGAUCUACAACAAGAGCUGAUGGAUUACCUGAAUGCCUGAAACGGUAAAAUAGGGUAUCUCAAAUUUCACACGUAUUGGAGCCUUCUUUUCAGGGGUUGCUUCUUCCGAGGUAAUGCUGGGAAGGCUAAACUCUGCUCUACACAUAUAUUCCUGAUAGAGUAAUAGGUCCAGGGAAUUAGAGCAAUCCAGCCUAGCAUAACAUGGAAGCAAAAGUGUACAUAUGGAACUGGAUCAGGACCUACCUUGCCACCAGGAAAUGAUUUAAUUUUCCAGACCAUUGCGUCUCUCUCAGGUGCAUAUGCCGCAGAACCCAUUGAAGUCCUUAUAUUUGGGUUUGUCGCAUCAUAGGGUACAGGUACUUCAAUUUCUACAUUUGUUCCGGUGCUGGAAAUGAGAAAAAGAAAUGCUAUGUAAGUUGGUCAUUCAUGCCACCAGAGGCACAUUAUUAUUGUUAGAAACAGGCACCUUCUUUCCUUGAACUGGCUCCUUGCCUUCACCAUGAUCUCUAUCCGGCUUCUUGAAUGCUUCUCAACUUGUGCUUCUACCCAGAUCAGAGGCUUCACCUGCAGGAGGGACCAAAGCAAGAUGUUUCAUGCACUAAUAUCAAAUGUGUGCCAGGACUUGGCAUCUCAUAUGUCACCAAAUAGUUCCUGGUUGUAAAACACAAAGGACAAACCUGUGUGGUGAGUCUGUAAGUCAUUAGAUCAAAAGCUCCAUCUGGAGGGACGAAUGAUAUAGUCCUAUCAUUCUCAAAUCUGGUCAACCGAACACACCUAAAAAAAGGAUUGGUCAAUAUAAACCCUAAAAUGACUACUAUGACAAAAAGAAUAUAGUAAUCGUGUAAUCUUACUGAUGAAAUUUGAUAUCAUCCAGAUCUAUUGCUUUUCCUUUAGUUGCUCGGCCUUGCGCUUCCAAAAGAACUCUAUCAUUCAACCCAAGUUUACACUCGGGCAUUCCACUGUGACAAAUACAUGCAUAUCAGCCAUGAUGAAUAUAUCCCACAGGAUAUACAGGGAAAACAUAGUCGGAUAAUACUUUGACCCAUUAACCCAAAAGACCAGAAGUCGAAACCAGCUGGUUUGAGUCAAAGUUCAAUUAUCAUUUGUAACUUACAUAAUCCAGUUCAUUUAUCGGGUACAACUUGAUGAUAUUAUCUGAAAGAGAACUAAGUAAAGUCUGCUUGUUCAAGACACACUUGCAAUACAUAUGUUGUAGUUGGCAGGGUAUGUAUACACUUUAUUAGUCUUUAUUCCUCACUGUCAAUUUGUUUCAACUGCUACUACACAACUACUAAUUUUAAAGGUUACAGGAAUGUGUUGGAUAAUAUAAUCUAGCUACAUCUUCACAGAGCUACAUGGAUGUGAUUCAUAUUAAAUUUAUUACUACACAAGCAGCUGAGUUAUAAGCAUAGUGUGAAUUUGUGGUAUGACUGUAUGGGAUGAUAUCACGAAGUUACCUCAGAAAGGUCCGCAUCUUCAGCGCGCCGAUGAUGUCAGAUCUCACGAUCUGCCCGUUGCUAUUGACAAGAAUGUUGACACUCUCAACCACAUCCAAGAACACCUGCGAUACACGAGCCAACAAUUUUCCCAUCACAUAACCAUCAAAGUGAACCAGAGUAAACAGGGGCAGAGGUGUAAUGUAUCGCACUUCAUUCUUCUUGUACCGAAUCCCCUCGCUCCGCCAUGACACGGCGUUCGUCACUGCCAUGGGCGGCCUCUGUGUGACCUCCAUCCUGUAUGCAUCGGUCUUGAUGAACUCACUCAGGAUCGUCGCCUCUGUGUAUUGCGGAUACCCGAAGUCCAUCAUCUCAUCAAGUAACUCAUACUGCGCAGAACAAAGGGCGUCCAUAAGCCCCUCCAACAUCAGUGGCAGCAACUCAAACUGAACCAAACCCAGCUCAUGUAACACAGAAACGCACCACAUACCACGACGACGAAGUUGUCCCUCAGAGAUUCCUCCUCCAGCUCCUCAAAGUAGUGCUUGAACACCUGCGCCGACACACAGAUCACAUGAGCAGAAUGCCCGUUGCUGCUACUUGCUCGCAAUGCUAAAGAGAAGCACUGCUCGCUGCGGUGAGAAUGGCGGCGCACGUACAUCGACGAGGCGGUGGAGGAAGAGCAGGAUGCUGGCGGCAUUGCAGUUCUGGCGGGCGGCGGUGAGGAGGAAGACGUUGUUGUGCUGGAUGAAGGUGUAGGAGACGCCGGCGCCGUCGUGGACGACGGGCGAGUGGACCUCCGCGUCGCCCUGGUAAAGCAGGGCAGAGCUCAGACCCGCAAUUCGAUGCUGCACAGAUCUGAGAGGAGAGGGAGGGAGGGCUCACGGACCUCCUUGUCGAGCAGCUUGGUGAAGAAGCGCUCGGCCUGGAGCGCGGUGACGUCGCCGCGGUAGUCGCGCCAGACGAGGACGCGGCCCUUGAUGUCGAGCAGGAAGAGCGCCGACACCGCCCCCGCCAUGCGGGCGGGGCACGCUGGAUCUGGAUCUGCCGGUGUAGUGCCUGACUGUGUGGUCGGCGGGGGGCGGCGAGCGGCGCGGGCGGCUGCUGGCUUCGGGCCUCGGCCGCUGAGGCCUCCGGAUCCGCCGCGGCUCUGGCUGCUGUGCACGCGCGCGCCGUGUUUGAGUGAGGGAAGGGAAGGGGAGAUCGGAGCCGGGACUGACGACGGCGGGGGCUUGUGCUGGAGUGGUUGGAUCAGAUCCGGGCGGUUCUCUUGCUGUCCCACUGCACGGUGGGGCCAGUGCUUGGUUACUGGCUUUGCCAGGAUUAGUUAGUCUUUUAACAGGAGUAACACGUGUGAUUGAUGAGGGAAAAAAUGGAUCAAGGUUGAGCGUCUACAGCCGGACGCCCCCGGCCCGGUCACCGAAAAUGCGAUCAAGACAGACGUCUUAAACGAGUCUCAAACGUUCGGACUGGCCGGCAUUUCUCAUUUCUAGCCCAAAUAUGCGGUGGAUAUGCGGCUCUUAGAGCAUCUCCAACAGCCGCGCAACGCGCCGCGCGCAAAAAGGUCAUUUGCCGCGUGCCGUUCGCCUGGUUUGGCGCGGCCGGCAGCGGUGGCUCCAGCAGACGCGUCAAAACUGAGCGCGCGCGCGUAGCUCCAGCGGCCGCCUAAAAUGUAGCGCGCGCUAAAUAGUGUGUAUAUUUUUUUUAAUAAAAUCCAUAGAUAGAAAAAACAAUACAUAGAUAUUUUACAUAGUUCCAUAGCAUAGAUAGAUAAAAAUUAUUUAGAUAGUGCAAGGACAUAGAUAAAAACUACUAGUGCACCUACAGCCUACUCCCAGUCGUCGUCGUCAUCGUCAUCGUCAUCGUCGCCAUCCUCGCUGGUCUACUCCGAGGUAUCAAGCCACAUGUCUCACCACCAUUCUCAACUACAUCGCACUGGGAUAGCGCCAGGACCUUCCGCCGACGCCUGUCCAACCGCUCAGCGCGGCGCCUUUGCGUCUCCUCCUCGCGGCGCCUUGCCCAGUAGGCUUGCUCGUAGGAUACGUCCUCCGGGUGUUGUUGGCGCCACUCCGCCAUGACCCGCUCGUCCUCAUGGGCGACGAGGAGGCGGUUCUGCCGCUCAGCAUGCUCCGCACGGUCUUGUGCCGUGCGAAGACGAGGCGGCGGGGCGACGUCCAGCGCCUGCUGCAGCGUGUGGACAUCGUGAAAGUUCAUCUGCUGGGGCAGCCUGCCUAGGCGCCACGCCGCCGCGUCGUACGCGCGGGCGGCCUCGUGCGCCAUCUCGAAGGUGCCGAGGCCGAGCCGGAGUUGGCCGGACCGUAUCUCCGAGUAGAACCCGCCGUUGGGGCGCUGGCGGACGCCGCGGUAGCCCGGCACUCCUCGGCAGCGCAGCGGCAUGGUGGCAGGGCGCUGGAGCGGUGGCGCGGGUGGCAGCGGAAGCAACCGAGAAAGCGGUGGAGGGGCGUGUGGCAACGGAAGAGGAAGAGAAGCGUAUGCAAUAGGCGUGUGGCGCGCACCGCAUUUUAUAGGCGCGCCGGAAGCGGUGCGGCAAAAAAAAGCGCGACCUGCCGCCAUUUUCCGCGCGCGCGCAAUUUUCCCGCCACCGCUGGAGCGCGCCGAAACGUCCCGCGCGCCCAAAAGACUCGGUUUACCGCGCGCGCGCUUUUUACCGCGGCUGUUGGAGAUGCUCUUAGGCGCGUCCACCAUGUUGGACCCGGCCCACACUAGCCCAUCCGACACCGCAUAUAUCCCUCCUCAUCCGCUCACCGGACCAUACCCUAGCCACUUCAAUCCACUCUUUCCGCCACCCAAGCUCCCGUCCUGCGAUCUCCGACCAUCUCUGACAUGGGGGCAGCGGAUCUAAAUCAUUCACCUCCAGAUCUGUCGACCCCAACCUCAUCCCACGCGGCCCAGAUGAGGAUAACCGAUGUUUGGCUUGCGCUCCGCUGCUCCCGAGAGGAGGCCCGUGCGAGGCAGCGCUCAGACUCUUUCCGUCGGAAAUUCAUUGCGUCCGUCCAAAUGGCGCAUGGAUUCGGUGCUAGGUGUGCCGUCGCUGCCUCACCGGAGGCGAUACGGGCCGUCUGGCGUCCGAACGCGGUGGAGGACACGCACCCUCUCCGUUAGCGCCCCGAGGCCAUGAACGUCGUCCGACGCAAACAACAUUAGAUUGUGGAAUUGGUUCACUUGCUUGGAACAACAAAUUCUUCAAGGUUACGAGCUAUAACAUUUUUUUGGAUUUUGAGUAACACUUGGCACAAAAUAAAAACUAGAACAAUAAUAAAAUCUGGAAAAAAAACUCUAACAAAACUCUAGCACAAUUACUAGUGACAUAAUUUCUUCCCGACAACGGCACCAGAAAAAGGUUUGAUGACUCCCUUUAGUGAUCCGGUAACAAGUAGCAAAAAGGUUCCCCGCCUCUUUCCCUAAGGUGUGACCUGAGUUAUCGAUUUUGUAAGAGGACGUGCACUACACCAAAGGUUUCUAACAAGCUUUUGCAAAAGGAUUAAAAUUCAGCUUUUAUACCGGAUUUAAAUCACCUUUGUUACUAAAACACUUAUAAUAAAAUACACGACAUGAGGACUUAAUUCUUACAACUAUAUAUUUGUGAUCAAGAUCAUCAUGAUCUUCAUUCGUGCUCUAUACAACACCCAUUAAAAUGUGCUUGCAUCGAGACGUAGUGGGGAUGUAUCCAAAUUGCUUCUUGAUCGAAACAUGCCAUCAGUGGCGAAGCCAGCGUGUAGGCGUUGGGUUCACUUGAACCCAACGAUCUUUGCACGUCACGGCCAUAUAUACACGUAUUCACUUGCAUGAACCCAAUGCAAAUGCACGCUUGAACCCAUCAAAGCAACUAGGCACGAGCAAGAAGCCUCUAGCCCAUUGUAAAUUUAUUAUAACAUGAUGAAUAGCCCAACAAAAAGCCUACAGCUAUUUCUCAGAACAAAGAGCCCAAUACCAUUACGAUAAAAUCCACGCAGCAGGCUCGACAGUUGACCGCAUGAUUCCAUACCAUCCCUACGCAACACGCUGCCGCUUAUCGUUCCCCCAGUUCGUUUCCCAACCCGGCCCCUCGGUGUUUCAUCGCGGCGCCAGAUCGGCAGCCUCCGGCGGCAAGCCAAGAACAGUAAGUCGGCCGUCGGCGGUGGCUGGCACUUGAAGUCCAAACUGAACUUAAUCAGAUCACUCCGUCCCUGCUGUGUGGUAUUACCUUUUACCCUAGUUUUCUGAUUAUUUUCCCCUGAACUUUGAUUUGUCUGUAGUACUAUGGUAUGCAAUAAUAUUUCCCAAGAAGAAAUUGAUCACCCGAUUCAGAUAACGAUGCUGGCACUUCUAGGCCAUCCGUUAGAUGUAAUUAAGCAGUACAUCGAAUGCCGCUGCAAAUAAUCUCCCAAAGUUUUCAAUUGACGGAUAAAUUACUGCCAUAUGAUGUGUUCGAUCUUUUCAUGGUAACGAAGAUCGAAAAGCUACACACUAAAAUGUGAGCGGCUUUACAUGCUUCUUUCGCUUGAUGGUACUUACUUUGAAUUUGUGAAAAUAACUUGUCAUUUUUUUCCAAUAUUUUCAGCAGAUGAGAAGCUGACCAUGAAGCUAUGAAGUUAUUGGGGUACUACCUUGUUUAUAAAAUGAAAAUAAGUGAUUUUAUAAUUUCAUCCAACUGGUAUGUCUUGCACUCUUUAGCUUUAAAUUUAAUCUAUAUGUGUGUGUGUGUGUGUGUGUAUACGAUAAUCAACAUCAUAUUCUGUUUGUUACACUCUUGUUGUAAGAAUUUAUCAAAAAGACUCUUGUUCUAAUAUAGUUCGAAAUUAAACUUUACACUUAAUUAAUUCGUACCAAAUUAAUUCUCACAGUGAGGUAAUGAGUGAACCCAUUGGCCAAAUUUUCUGGCUCCGCCCCUGCAUGCCAUGUAUCUAUCUACUACCCUCCGUAUAAUAGAACGAAAUGCAGAGAUCCAAGUCCAUAUUGUCCAUCCAUACACCUGAUCAUAUAGCCCAUAAUACUCUGAUCUUUAGUGCCAAUUGCAAUUACUGUUCCACCUCUUCAAACGCACGCCCGCGCAGUCCUGAGGCACCUAUAGUCGCACGGUUCCGCCAAUAAAAACCGUCCAGUCGCGCUCCUCGCCUUCCUCGCAUAGUUCUAGUCGCCCUUCAUCACUCCUCGCCUCCUUCUCACACGCGGGGGUGCCUAGCACGUCAUCUGCAUCGCCCUCGCCGGCGGAAUCCAGUCGCCCCCCUCGCUCCUCGCCUCGCUCCUCGAUCCUCGCGAUGGCGCCUUCCUGGUGGAAGUGGAAGGACUUCCAGCCAACAUGGCCCCUACCGCCCAUCACUGACGGACUUGCAGCCACCCGCCGCUGCCCGCCCCUCGCAACUGGGCUUGCAACAAGCACGGACCUGCCAGCCUCACACCGUCAAGGAGGUUGCAAGUUCCUAAAAAAUAGGCUUGAUUGUAAGGCUUGUCGAUGUGAACACGAGCAUCCGCCAUCUAAGGAGUGGCCUCCGACGGCGCUUCUUUCUCAUCCUACACCAGCCUUGGUUGUAAGGCUUGUUGACGUAAGGCUUGUCAGGCACAGAGCUUGGGCCAGGCGCACCUCCAGCCUUUGACCACUCCAUCGCCAUAACGAGAACAUUUGCCCGAGAAAGAAAACUCAGAUCGGGUGACAAUGGAGGGAACCCUAACUCCCCUUUUCUCAAAACUGAUAGUAGAUCAAGGCCAGGAGGUGAUGCGGGAUCACCCUGGUUCAGCCCGAAGCAAAACUACUGAGGGAGAUCGGGGCAAGGAAGGUGAAAACCUUAACAACAGCAGAAAUCACCCUCUGGAGAACACUACUGCAGGAUGGUCCUAACGCAACACAUGUAUCGAAGACUCUUCGACUAAAUUGUGGGUGAUGCAUAAAUCGCAAACGGUAUGGCUCAAACGGACAAGUCCGGUCACUGACCGGACGCAUCCGUGGACCUUUAAGGCCAGAUUUGCUCUAUGGACAAGGGGCGACCUUUUUUUUUGAGUCACGCCAGGUCGUUCAACUCGUGCGUGUUUCGUUCAUAGUUUAAAAAGGCGCGCCUAAGCAAGCGCUUAAGCACGCAUAGGCUCUAGGCGUUGGCAAAACGCAUUGCGCAUAACUACGCUUAAUCUGCGCAUAAUUGCGCAUAAGCAUACGCUUUGGUCAGUAAAACGCAAGGCGGUGGUAAAACGCACAAUUUACGCCUACGUUUUUUUGAACUAUAGUUUUGUUUCAGCUCGGCUAGACCAGAGUAUAUCUGGCCAUGCGCCGGGCCUUAAAAGUCCAUGACAGAAAACCGAGGCCCAGACCCUCCCAGGCCCUACCAUCGGGCCUACUUUUCAAGACCCAACCCGACCCAUCUGGUAAAAAGCCCUGAAAAGCCCUUAGGGCUUAGGGCCGUGGGCUGGGCCUCUUCCUUAAAAUGCCAAGCCCAAGCCCGUUCAGGCCCUGCUGGUGGGCUCAAAACUCAGGCCCAAGCCCGGCCCACGGGCAAGCCCAUCGGGCCUAGGCCCUGGAUUUUAGGGCCGGGCCUGGGUGGACCGACAGGGCUGGGACGAAGAUGGCCAGAACUAUAGCUGGCCAAAUGGGCCGGCCGUGAGCACGCCGGCACGACCCGCCUUGGGCCAGGCAUGACAUGAGCUAAACGGGCCGGGCCCGGCAUGCGGCACGCCCUGGGUCAUGCCUGAGGCUGGGCACGCGGGCCGGCACGGCACAACCCGAUUACGUUUUUUAUUUUUUUUUAUAUCUAUAUAUGGCCCAACAUGUAAAUAUAGGCUAAAAACGCUCAGUGCGUCAAAUAACAGGCUGAAAAUAUGCAGGCCACCAUGCUAAACGUGCCGACCGUUUAUUUAUUGGUCAUGCCUGGGCCUGGGGGCGCAGCACGCGGGCCGGCACGGCACAGCCCGUAUAGUAAUCGUGCCCUGGCGGGCCGUGCCGGGCCAGGCACGAUUACGAUGGGCCGGGCCGGGCCGUGCCGGGCUGGCCCGUUUGGCCAGGACUAGACCAGAGAGACCGGCCGGCCCAUCAGGCCCUUCUUCUCCCCGACGAGAGAGAGUUUGCUCCGGGCUCGGCUUCUCUUCUUCCUUCGAGCUCCCACGCCGCACGCCCCUCAUCUCCCUCCCCUCCGUCUCCGUCUCCUCUCCCACGCGCCGCGCCAAUCCCCGCCACUCCCAGCGUCGCCGGCGCCAGGCCAGCUCCACCGAACAUACAUCACCCAGAACACGAGAUCCGAAAGGCGGGCGGGCGGCGGCGGCGGCGGCGCGGAGGAUGGCGGCCACGCUGUCGCAGCUGGACGACGGCAUCGUCCGCAGCAUGGCCAUCGGCGCGGUCUUCACCGACUACGUGAGACUCAUUGCCUAACCCCCCAGCCCGCCCCCCUGUUUGUUCCUUCUGCCCACGCUAAUCUGCCGCGGCGAAUCGGCUGGCAGGCCGGGAAGAUAAGCUGCCUCGACUUCCACCGCAAGGAGGACCUCCUCGUCACCUCCAGCGAGGACGACUCCAUUCGCCUCUACAACACCACCAGCGCCACGUGAGUCCGCCGCCCCCGCUUGGGUUCACAUCUGCUCUUUUAGUGCUUCUGCCUGUGUUAACUGAACCUCGGUGUGCUAGACAGGUUACGGCAUGUGGGUGGGAAGUGUCUGGCAUCUAGUGCAUUUUGAGUGUUGGCCUAUAGAUUCGAGUGACAGUGCUGGGUUCUUGCAGCGAUGCUUCUGUGACUAUGUUAAUAAAUUUUAUGGUGAUUUGCUUCACAAGUAGGAGUACAGCAGCAUUAGGCCAUUGACUAUUUGUGAUGCAAACCCCUAGUAAUCUGAUGUUGCAUGUGUUAGACAUAAUUCUGUAGGAUUACAUGAUAGGAUCUUUAGGCCUAGGCAUUAGAUCGCGAAAACAUGAUUAGACAGAGAGGUAGAUCUGCAGGGGCACAAACGUUGGUCCGUGGCUCGGCCCCUUUACGUUAUGUUAUCCUUCCAUCCCAGUGGGUCGUAGUCUCGUAGAUCAAUUCCAACAUUCCCCUCGGCUCAACUACUUUUGCCCAUUGUCCAUAGGAAUAAUAUAUGAAAGUAAGGUGUUACAACAACCAAUGAAAUGUCGUUGAACGUCAAUACUUAUAGUACGCAUCCUGUUUUGAAAUGGAAAAAUAUUACUUAUUGGGAGUAGUUCAUGUUAACGGUCCCAUAAUUCUAGGAUCGGAAGGCUUCCCAUAAUCCCAUGCCGGCUACAUGCUCAUGAAAAAUAGUGGGUGUUAAGCUUUUAGUGAGCGGAUCCGCAAGCAUACUUGUCGUACUGAUAUGCUUAACAUUAAUAGUUUGAUCAUGGAUUCUUUCACAACAUGAUACUGUUUGUCAAUGUGCUUGGCAGCAACACUUAACUUGCUGUUACUCGUAUAGAAAACUACGAGUUCAUUAUCGCAGUAUAAUGUUAGUGGUUUAGGGAUUUCUUACUAUCCACACACCCGACAAAAUCAGCGUAUGAAUAACCUACAACUUCCACAUUAUCAGACCUUCUAUACGUAAGCAUGAAAUCUUUAGUGCCUUGCAGGUAACACAAUACUUUCUUUGUGGCCUUUAAAUUUAUCAAUGUUCAGGAUAUCGGUAACUGGUACCAUAUUGGUCGGGUGCUUUGUAUGGAUAAAUCGGUGAAUCGCCCUAUUAUAGCUGAAUAUAUUAGUAACCCAUUUAUCGGUAGGUUAACCAGGGCCCUAUCAAUAUAUCCUAGGCUUAAUAGGUUAACUAGGGCUCUAUUAACUGAAUUAACUGGUACCAUAUUCAGCACAGCAGCAACACCAAUGUUCCAAAGGAGAGCACAACAGAAGCAAGAACACAAGUGCAGAACAGCAGCAGUAGGAGUGUGGUACAUAACAGAGGAGAGGGGUUUACCUUGCUGUUGCCUGGGCCAAAAAAGUGCCUGGCAGUUUAUCGGCCAACCGAUAAUUCAGCCUGACAGCCGAUAAAUCGGUUUGUCAGACUGAUAAACUGCCCCUACCAGUUAAUGAAUCAAAUAGGGCCUUUUCAUAUCGGAAGGGGUCCGAAUAGCGAUUAACUGACCGAGAUGCUGAUUAACUGGCCGAUAUUUGGAACAUUGAAUAUAACAUAUAUGCAGAUGUCCACUUCAUUUUCUUUUAUUUAAACCAGAAGUGCAGAUGUCCACUUCAUUUUCUUUUAAACCGGAAGUUCUAAUAAUCUUAUCGAACUUGAGGUACCAUUGUCAAGAAGUUUGCUUCCAGCCAUAAAUGGAUUUCUUUAAAUGAUCUGCCAUGUAUUUUUUUUCUUCCAUGGCAAAACCUUCAGGUCAUGUCAUGUACACAUCUUCGUUCAAGAAUGAUGUCUUGACAUCUAUUUGAUGUAGCUCUAAAUCAUAAUGAGCUGCAAGUGCCAUGAAAAUUCUGAAAGAAUCUUUAGAUGACACAUGUGAGAAGGUUUGAUUAUAAUAGAUCAUUCUCUUUGUGCGAAACCUUUUGCUACAAGUCUUGCUUUGAAGUUAGAAUCUUUUGACGUCCCCUUUGGUAUCAUAUUUGGUUUUUUAGACUCACUUGCAGCUUGCCUUUUUGCUCCAUCAGAACUUCUACCAAGUCCCAAACAUCAUUUGAACUCAUAGACUUCAUCUCGUCUUUCAUGGCAACCAACCAUUUGGACAAGUUUUCACUUUCAGUAGCUUCCUUAUAUGAGACCAGAUGUUCUACCUUCCCUAUGUCAUUUACAUCCUCACUCAUGUAAGUGACAAAGUCGCUUGGGAUGGUUCCUUAACCUUGUGAUCUUCUCACAGGCUCAUUACUUUGUACAUUUCUUCUUGCACGGGGAGGACGAGGAUUAACACCAGGUUGAGGAUCAUCAGUAGAUUGAGAAACCUCAUCAUGCUGAGGACCUUCAUUAGGCCGAAGCUCCUCAUUGUACCGAGGAUCCACGUGAAGUUUAGGAUCACUAGUAGGUGUCUCAUGCAUAUUACGCCUAGGGACAAAAUUCUCUUGGAUAAUUGGGGAUAGAACAUACACCCGCUUCUCCUCAAGAUCAAUUGCCCUAGCCUUUGUGACUCCAUUAUCCUCAAAAACACCGCUUGCCCGAUGUCCACAAACUUGGUGGUAUGACGUGGGCAACCCUUUCCUCUAGGAGCUUACCCAUUGAAAAAUCAACUAAUUGUCUUUGGGCCCCACUUUUAAAUUUGUGGAUUCAUACUUUAGCUUUAGCACGGGCAGCCCCACACACGCAAGUAAUUUGAGCUUGGUUUCUUUCUUGUCCACAUCUCAUAAGGUGUGCCUGUUGCUGACUUAGUUGGAACAAGAUUUAGCACAUGCAUGACUGUCUUUAAUGCCCCCAUCCAAAGGUUCACUGGUGAUCUUGAGCAGCUAAGCACGGUUCACACCAUAUCCAUAAGGGUGUGAUUGCGACGCUCAGCCAUGCCAUUUUGGUGAGGUUCACCAGGUGUUAAAUAAUGAGCAAUGAGUCCAUUCACAGUUGGGAACUUGGUAAUAAGUUCCUAAUCUACCUCUAUGUUAAUCAUGUUUAGGUGAUCUAAUGUCUAGGCCGAACAAUUCUAUCACGCUAUCCUAAAGAAUUAUGUCUUAACAUUGGUAUCAGAGCGUUCCAUUCCCCCUCGUAAUGUGGCCCAAACGGUGGUGCCAUAAUUUCGAAGAAUUACUGACGCCUUUCCAUUUCUUCUCAUCUUCCAUUCAUCACUCACAUACGUAAAAAUAAUAAUUAAGGAAUAACAUGCAUAAUUUGCCUCAUCUGACACCGACGCCAACAUUUUUAUCACACUGAUUUAAAAUGAAUUGUUUGUUGCCAAACAUGCAUGCAUACAUGUCAACAUCCACGCAAGAAACAAAAACUAAAUUCCUACUUAACUAGAUACAUAAAGACCAUUAUUUCAUUGAAGCUUGUAGCUGAUGUGAAGCUCCAAUGUGAGAGAUCCUGCAGUUUCAACAUCGACUUCAAUUCCAUUAGCUACCUUAAGUUUUUUUGCCGCUUGAGUUAUAAUUUCGGUCGUAACGAAUCCCUACAUGGAGUUAGCAACAUGAGCAGUUGCACCUGAAUCAAUCCACCAUGACAUUCUAGAGAAAUCAACAUAAAUUGUUUCAUCAUCAAAAGUUAUUUCAUCAAUACCUUUUUUGUUAGCCAUUUGAGAAGCCCGGGCAAUCCCUCUUAACAUGUUCUGGGUGUUUGCAGAAGUUGCAAAGUCUCUCUCCAUCAGUAUUCGUAGCAUUAACAUUAGCGGGAGCCGGAGGAGCCGAACGAUAGCAACUUGGCUCUUUACAUCCCUGGGCUUUGGCUCAUCUUUCUUGAGGACUUGUUUUUUGUUGAGCUUAUGAUUGCCAUGGUUUCAUGCUCUCUCUUCGCAGAGUUAACAUGAAAAACAUGGUCCUUUUGUUUGCCUCUCUGUUCAAGUUGCUCUCGUUCUGCUCCUCCAACCCUCUCUAAUGUUAAUGCUACGAAUGUUGAUGGAGAGAGAGACUUUGCAUCUUUUGCAAACACCCAGGACAUAUUAAGAGGGAUUGCCCAGACUUUCUCAAAUGGCUCAACAAAAAAGAUAUUGAUGAAAUCACUUUUGUUGAUGAAGCACUUUAAGUUGAUUUCUCUUGAAUGUCACGGUAGAUUGAUUCAGCUGCAACUGCUCAUUUUGUUAACUCCUUGUAGGGAUUUGUUAUGACCCAAAUUAUAACUCACGGGGCAAGAAAACUUAAGGUAGCUAAUGGAAUUGAAGUCGAUGUUGAAACUACAGAUCUCUCACAUUGGAGCUUCACACCAGCUAUAGGCUUCAAUUAAAUAAUGGUCUUUAUGUAUCUAUGUAAAGUAGGAAUUUAGUUUCCGUUUCUUGCUUGGAUGAUGACAUGUAUGAAUGCAUGUUUGGCAACAAACAAUUUAUUUUAAUUAAGUGUAAUAAAAAUGUUGGCCUCAGUGUCAGACGAGACAAAUUAUACAUGUCAUUCCUUAACGAUUUGGUAUGCAUGUGAAUGAUGAAUGCAAAGAUGAGAAGAAAUGGAAAGACGUUAGUAACUGUNNNNNNNNNNNNNNNNNNNNNNNNNNNNNNNNNNNNNNNNNNNNNNNNNNNNNNNNNNNNNNNNNNNNNNNNNNNNNNNNNNNNNNNNNNNNNNNNNNNNNNNNNNNNNNNNNNNNNNNNNNNNNNNNNNNNNNNNNNNNNNNNNNNNNNUUCUUUACGAUUACGUGAUAGGAUCGUUAGGCGUAGACAUUAGAUCACCUAAACAUGAUUGAAUAGAGAGAUGAUUAGGAACUUAGGAUCAGUUCUUUUGGGGCUUAUGGGUGGCUGCCAAAAUAAGCUGCCCCCACCCAGCUUAUUCUGGCAGCCCAACCUAAAAUUUUAUUCUAGAAGAAGCCUAGUAAUUAAAAGCUUAUUUUGGCAGUCAUCCAUAAGCCUGAAAAGAACUGACCCUUAUUGCCAAUGGGUGCAGCCAUUGGCUUAGUGGGGCGAUGUCCCGUGCCUGCUCGAUGCAGGCGUGACAUAGGCUCGGUGAAUAUGUCGGUGGCGGGUACCGGCGAUCAUCUGGACGCCACCGGCACUGUUUGGUGCCGUCGGAGAUGGCCUUCCUAUUGCAGCAGCGCCUCCCCUAGAUCGGUUUAGGGAUUUGAGAUGUGGGGAGCAGCAGAAAACUGUAUGCGAACUGGUCAUACGUACCCCCCCCCCUCCCCCCCUCUUUUUAUAUGGCCCUGGCGAUCAGGCAGCCGAGACAAUGUUGGUUAGGGACGCCCCUGAUCAGGGUGCGUUAGUUUGGGGCGAGGGGCACGAACGUUGGUUCGUGGCCCUCCCCUUUAUGUUACGUUAUCCUUCCAUCCGAGCGGGCCGUAGAUCAAUUCCAACAGCAUGCUGGUCAGUACGAUCCACUUAGAUGAUUUAAUGUUGUUUGUACUGAGUAUUUGUUCAUGGUUAUGCUGCAGUAUGCCAUUGUCUUAUUUAUUUUCCUACUGCAGUUGCUUGUUUUUCUUUGUCAGAUUUAACUUUUUUGUAUGCGACCCUGCAUGAUGCCGGCAUUUUGCUUUGUUUCAUGCACUUGUGUCAUUGACUAUUAUUGACAAGUGCUAGAAUUUGGACUUUUUUUUUAGGUUGUCGAAGACAACUUAUCAUAAAAAACAUGGUGCUGACCGUGUCUGUUUUACUCAUCAUCCGAGUUCCAUAUUAUGUUCAUCAAGAUACAAUGUGGAGUCAGGAGAAUCACUUCGUUACCUGUCAUUGUAUGACAACCGUUGCUUGAGAUAUUUCAAAGGACACAAAGACAGGUUCAACAAAUUUUCCUUGGAUUCUUGUUUGUAGCAACUAUUUCAAGGGUCAGAUGCUGAGGCCUGCAUUCUUUUUAUGUCAUUUCAGGGUUGUUUCACUAUGUAUGUCACCUGUCAAUGAUAGCUUUAUGUCGGGGUCACUUGAUCACAGUGUCAGAAUAUGGGAUCUUCGUGUAAAUGCUUGUCAGGUUUGGCCACAGAAUCUGUUAAUUUGAUCACAAAUAACUUCAAUAUGCAUAUUUUGUAUUUAGCUGAUGAAAAGUACCAAUUUAUCCUCUGAGUGCUUUUCAUGCUUACACGUUUAGCAUUCAGGGUAUACUACGUCUGCGUGGUAGGCCUUCUGUUGCAUAUGAUCAGCAGGGACUUGUUUUUGCUGUAGCAAUGGAGGGAGGUGCUAUUAAGCUGUUCGAUUCUCGGUCAUACGACAAGGUCUGUAUUGAACUUGAAUCUCAAAGUCAUAUAUCUAGAAAGCAUGUGAAAUUCUCAAUCUUGUGAAAGAAACCACUUUCAGGGUCCAUUUGACACUUUCUUGGUUGGUGGAGAUACGGCUGAAGUGUCUGACAUUAAAUUCAGCAAUGAUGGCAAGUCUGUGCUUUUGACUACAACUAACAACCAUAUAUAUGUUCUGGAUGCAUAUGGAGGGGAGAAGGUCAGUUAGCGCUAUAAUUGCAGAAUUUUGCUUCAGACAUCGAGCUGUAAAGUGCACAGUUUCCUAUAUCUUGUCAUUAACAACAAUAUAUAUUAACUCAUCUUUGUCUGUUAUUUUGUAGAAGUGUGGCUUCAGCUUGGAGCCAUCUCGCAACAUUGCAACUGAAGCUGCUUUCACUCCAGAUGGUCAAUAUGUAAUUUCAGGUAAUGUUUGGUUUUUUCGUGCAUCUUCCUUAGGAUAUUCUGCUGCAUACUACCUCUGAACUUACCCAACAUGUUGACCUGUAAUUAAGCCUUAGCAUGUAAUAUCAUCUCUAGUCUCACCCUUUUCUCCCUUUUGCUUUUACUUUGGGAAGAGAGCUUAUAAGAUUCAUCAAUAUAUUUUUCACCUUCAACUUGUGUGUAGCUUUUUUAUCAGCAUUAGAGAGGCAUUUAUAGUUAUAGUGUUAUACUGCUUUCACGCCAAGUAAAAAGUUAAAAUAUCAUAGCGAUGAUAAUACAUCUGAUAUGGUGGUUUGCUUCCCAUUCUCAAUUCUGGAGCACUAUUGCUGAAAGUGAAACUUGGAAAUAUCAAAUUUGCUAGAAUGCUUUAGAAAAAGCACUGACCAGGUUGCGUGGCAAAAGCUGUUGCUGAAAACAACAUAUGCUUUGAUGUUGCAGGAUCUGGUGAUGGUACCUUGCAUGCUUGGAACAUCAAUACAGUACAGGAGGUAGGUACCACUUUCUUAAACUUUGAUUACAGCGUGUGUUUUGUUGGCUUAGUUUUUUUUCCUGUUGCAGAUUGCCUGUUGGAACAGUCAUAUUGGUCCUAUCACUGCUUUGAAAUGGGCCCCUCGUCGAGCUAUGUUCGCAACUGCAUCAACCGCACUAACUUUCUGGAUUCCCAACGAAUCCAGUUCGAGUUAGGUCCCUGAAAAGGAAGAUGGAACGUGGAAUACACUAACUUAACAAAAGACUUGUAUCAUGUUCUUUCCUUGACAGGACAGGUACUAUGUAUGAAGUAUCACUUGCUUUAUUACCAUAUAUGUGGAAACAGUGAUGUUGGUUCCCUGUAGAAUGUAUUGAAGUGCUCCCUUUAUUUUUUAAGUAUAUAAUAUUGCACACUUGCUCAUUAUUUUCUCUUGUGGUUCUGUCAUCGUACAUAAAGUCGCCCUGAAUUCUUCCCUGUGCUAUCCUAGUGCAUUUGUUUUGGAGAAUCGGGAACUUGUUCCAUAUUCUUUUGUUGCUGGAACAGGGUAGACUUUUGCUUAGAAUAUGAUAAGCUGGCCUUCUUAUAUCGCAAAAGCUCUCAGAUUCCUGAUAUUCUUUAUCACCCCAAGAUGAUGAGGGCAUAACGUUCUCUUCAAUUUGUGUAGAUUAUCAUUAUGUGGGAACCUGAUCCUUCUUGUCGCCUUGUUAUUCUUAGAAAAGCCGACGAAUUAACCACUGCUAGCUUUAUUCUUAAAAAAGCCAAUGAUUUAAACCACUGCUGACUUUUAAACAGUGUUGACAUACUUUUUUUAAUAGUUUGGGUUGCUUACCACAUGUGUCACAUGGUUGCUGACUGUAAAACUUUUGAAAGAUAUCAGAACAAUUACAAACAGCAUUCUUGCAGAAGUUUUCAGUAUCCUGGAGGAGGUUCUCUUGGUUGGAUAUUCAAUCAUGUGGGGUAAUCCCAAGCGUUCAUUUACAUGAAAAACUACGCAGAUUCAUCUUACAUCCACCUCAUUUCAUGUCUAUUUUAGCACUGAUGAUUUUCCUUAGCAGUAAGUUGAAGAACUACCAUGGGAUUACACCUGCUAACUUCUCUAAUGCAACAAUAUAAGAAAAGACCAAACGAAAGGGCAGGGUGCAAAUUACAGAACCAUCAGUCGUCUACACCAAAGCGGUCCAUCAAACCCGAAAUAGCACCUUGCAUCAUUAUUACUGGGAGCAGCAAGGCACAACAUACAACAUGAAGCACUAAACCAUAAAAUCAACACCGCUAGUCAUCUAUCAAACAUGCAACAAGGAACAGAUUUCCUGCCCAAGAGACACCCCCUAC